AUACGUAGGGAGCGAGCGUUGUCCGGAAUUACUGGGGGUAAAGGGAGCGUAGGCGGGAGGGCAAGUCAGAUGUGAAAUACAUGGGCUCAACCCAUGGGCUGCAUUUGAAACUGCAUUUCUUGAGUGAAGUAGAGGUAAGCGGAAUUCCUGGUGUAGCGGUGAAAUGCGUAGAUAUCAGGAGGAACACCGGUGGCGAAGGCGGCUUACUGGGCUUUUACUGACGCUGAGGCUCGAAAGCGUGGGGAGCAAACAGGAUUAGAUACCCUGGUAGUCCACGCUGUAAACGAUGAUUACUAGGUGUGGGGGGACUGACCCCUUCCGUGCCGCAGUUAACACAAUAAGUAAUCCACCUGGGGAGUACGGCCGCAAGGUUGAAACUCAAAUGAAUUGACGGGG
Molecule: ribosomal RNA, 396 nt
Filed under: uncultured bacterium
Lineage: Bacteria
Description: partial 16S ribosomal RNA
Rfam family: Bacterial small subunit ribosomal RNA
Source: RNAcentral